Molecule: ribosomal RNA, 252 nt
Filed under: uncultured bacterium
Lineage: Bacteria
Description: partial 16S ribosomal RNA
Rfam family: Bacterial small subunit ribosomal RNA
Source: RNAcentral
UACGUAGGUCCCGAGCGUUGUCCGGAUUUAUUGGGCGUAAAGCGAGCGCAGGUGGUUUAUUAAGUCUGGUGUAAAAGGCAGUGGCUCAACCAUUGUAUGCAUUGGAAACUGGUAGACUUGAGUGCAGGAGAGGAGAGUGGAAUUCCAUGUGUAACGGAGAAAUGCGUAGAUAUAUGGAGGAACACCGGUGGCGAAAGCGGCUCUCUGGCCUGUAACUGACACUGAGGCUCGAAAGCGUGGGGAGCAAACAGG